AAUCAUCAGCAAAUGAGUCAUCAGAUACAGGGUAACAUAAGCGCCAAACAAACCUAUGAGCAAAAAAGAAAACAACUCAUCAAGACCACAAGCCAAGAUUUAAAGGAGAGGAAGUAGAGGCAUUCAAUUAACAUACAAAGAAAUUUCCCAUGUACUGAAGAUAAAGUCAAAUCUCCAAAUAAAAGAAUCAUCAAAAACAGAAAACCAAAUGAGAGGGAAGACCAAAAUUCCUACUUACAUAAACACCAAAUGAACCAGAAUCUUU
RNAcentral lists this long non-coding RNA (265 nucleotides) under Lathyrus oleraceus (garden pea). RNAcentral describes it as "Pisum sativum (pea) long non-coding RNA (PSAT_LNC022991)". The record is from RNAcentral. Lineage: Eukaryota; Viridiplantae; Streptophyta; Magnoliopsida; Fabales; Fabaceae.